UACGUAGGUGGCAAGCGUUGUCCGGAUUUACUGGGCGUAAAGAGCGCGCAGGCGGUCGUUCAAGUCGCGUGUGAAAGCCCCCGGCUCAACUGGGGAGGGUCACGCGAUACUGAUCGACUCGAAGGCAGGAGAGGGUAGUGGAAUUCCCGGUGUAGUGGUGAAAUGCGUAGAUAUCGGGAGGAACACCAGUGGCGAAGGCGGCCUUCUGGUCCAGUACUGACACUCAAGUGCGAAAGCGUGGGGAGCAAACAGG
RNAcentral lists this ribosomal RNA (253 nucleotides) under uncultured bacterium. Its description in RNAcentral is "partial 16S ribosomal RNA". It matches the Rfam family "Bacterial small subunit ribosomal RNA", at positions 524 to 776 of the family's 1533-position model. The record is from RNAcentral.